GCUUGCACUGGGGAUUAGUGGCGAACGGGUGAGUAACACGUGAGUAACCUGCCCUUGACUCUGGGAUAAGCCUGGGAAACUGGGUCUAAUACCGGAUAUGACUCCUCAUCGCAUGGUGGGGGGUGGAAAGCUUUUGUGGUUUUGGAUGGACUCGCGGCCUAUCAGCUUGUUGGUGGGGUAAUGGCCUACCAAGGCGACGACGGGUAGCCGGCCUGAGAGGGUGACCGGCCACACUGGGACUGAGACACGGCCCAGACUCCUACGGGAGGCAGCAGUGGGGAAUAUUGCACAAUGGGCGCAAGCCUGAUGCAGCGACGCCGCGUGAGGGAUGACGGCCUUCGGGUUGUAAACCUCUUUCAGUAGGGAAGAAGCCGUAAGGUGACGGUACCUGCAGAAGAAGCGCCGGCUAACUACGUGCCAGCAGCCGCGGUAAUACGUAGGGCGCAAGCGUUAUCCGGAAUUAUUGGGCGUAAAGAGCUCGUAGGCGGUUUGUCGCGUCUGCUGUGAAAGACCGGGGCUCAACUCCGGUUCUGCAGUGGGUACCGGCAGACUA
This 553-nucleotide ribosomal RNA is filed under the name Arthrobacter sp. AS11. RNAcentral describes it as "bacterial SSU rRNA". It matches the Rfam family "Bacterial small subunit ribosomal RNA", at positions 78 to 643 of the family's 1533-position model. The record is from RNAcentral. Lineage: Bacteria; Bacillati; Actinomycetota; Actinomycetes; Micrococcales; Micrococcaceae.